UCUGAUGCCCGGGGCCGCACGCGCGCUACACUGAAGGAAUCAGCGUGUGCUUUCCCUGUCCGGUAGGACUGGGUAACCCGUUGAACCUCCUUCGUGAUAGGGAUAGGGGCUUGUAAUUGUUCCCCUUGAACGAGGAAUACCCAGUAAGCACGAGUCAUCAACUCGUGCUGAUUACGUCCCUGCCCUUUGUGCACACCGCCCGUCGCUACUACCGAUUGAAUGAUUUAGUGAGGUCUUCGGACUGGCGCUCGAACUCGGCCUUCCGGCCGGGCCGAAGUGCCGGAAAGAUGACCGAACUUGAUCAUUUAGAGGAAGUAAAAGUCGUAACAAGGUAGCC
Molecule: ribosomal RNA, 337 nt
Filed under: Belisana nahtanoj
Lineage: Eukaryota; Metazoa; Arthropoda; Arachnida; Araneae; Pholcidae
Description: bacterial SSU rRNA
Rfam family: Eukaryotic small subunit ribosomal RNA
Source: RNAcentral